RNAcentral lists this long non-coding RNA (1296 nucleotides) under Chrysemys picta bellii (western painted turtle). RNAcentral's name for it is "lncRNA (ENSCPBG00000010940.1)". Lineage: Eukaryota; Metazoa; Chordata; Testudines; Emydidae. The record is from RNAcentral.
GCGGCGAGAGGUUUGAACCGUGGCGGAUUUCAGGGUUUCUCCCGGCGCCCGAGCCAGGCCUCGCCCCAGCGCAGUCUCUCAGGGAAAGCACUCACCUGCCAAAGCCUCUCUCCUGGCCCCGUUUUCUUGUGUGUGAUAAAGCUCUGCUCUCGGCUUCGCUCUCCGGCCUUUCGCUUUCACGCUCUGUCGCUCUCGUGCUGUGUGUCUGUCUCCCUCCCUCCCGCUGCUGGUUCCUGGCAGGGCUGUGGGGCCCCGGGAGCGAGAGCGAGGCCAACCCCCCAGCGGCUUCGCCCAGGCCCGGCUUGGUGCCUGCGGGCGGGUGCAGCCCUGUGCCGCCUGGGAGAAGGACCCGGCUUGUGGCAGGAUGGGGUGUGUGUGUGUGAGAUGCAGGGUCCCCCCUCACCCAAGCUGCCCCGGUCGUAUGGAGCAGGAAAGCCACACGGUCAACCAGGACAGACCCCUGUCCCCACUGUAGGGCUCCUGGCUGCGUUGCUCUGUCAGUGCCCCAUCCCGGCCGGGUUUGCCCCCAGCCCCAUGGCCCUCCGGCGCCUGCCACAGUGAGGUUGCCUCUGUGGGCCCGGAGGCUCAGACCCUGGGAAGUGAGAGCAUGGCUGGCUCUACACCGUCCUGCCCUGUGGGGUCAUUGAGAACAGUCAUCCCCCCUCCCCGCCCCCCGCAUGUAGGGUGUGGCCUUUCUCAUCCUCGCCCUCCAGCGUGUGUGUGAGAGACAGACAGACCCUCCGGAAAAGGCAAGGAGGGGGGCGAUGCAGGAACCCCUCUGUCUGCUCCGACGUGGCUCGGGGUCUUUCUCCCCUUCGCUUGCCCGGCGGCUUGCGCUAGUUCGCUCUCUCUUUAGCUCCGGCCCGUUCGCCCCCCCCGACUCGCUUGUUUCUUUCGCUCACCCAGCUGCAGGCGCUCGCUCGCUGAGCCCUGCUCUCUCCUGGCUUCUCGUCCCAGCACUGGCCACAUAACCUCGCCCCCUGGCACGCCCCUCUGCUCCAGUCCCUCUCCCACGCCGGCUCGCUUGCUCCGACACGCACGUUUCUUUGCUCGCGCCUUUGCUUGUCCAGCCUGUCUCUUGCUCGCUUGGCUCUGCCCUCUCCCCCCCGGCCUUUGCUCCCCCUGCCGGUCUGUCUCGUUUCUGGCCCCACCGGCGCUUACAUCGGCCUGUCAUGUCACUCGGGGUGAUGUAGCCCGGCCUUGGUCUCGCUUCCUCUCCCCUGCACUUGCCGGGAUGCUUAGAUGCUCUCUCCUGCCACAUUCCCGCUCUCUCCCCUGCUCCGCCUUUUACUUCCC